GAGAGAAAGAGUGAGAACAUAUCCAUUCAUCGUCCAUCCUUCACUUUACAGUAUACGAACGCAUGCGCGAAAUGAUGUAUUAAAAAUGGCCAACAGUUCGGUUUCACGUAUGUGUCAUGAAUGUAACCUAUAAAAGUGAUUUAUUCAUUUAUCGAUAAAGUGACGAUAAGAUGUAAAGUAUGCGGCAGAUAUUGGUUAAAAAUGUGAUAAAAGUCACUCUCAGGGCCAAGAUUUUUAUUGUAAUCACAGAAAUCAGCUCAUAAAUCUAUUGUUUUUACUUACAUAAACAUAAGAUUUCAUCACAUAGGACGUGAAAAUAACGAAAAGCCAAAUAAAAUACGUAAAAAAUUAACUAAAUUAAUUUUAUUUUCUUAUGACUGAUUCCUUGUAAAAUCAUCCCACAAAGUUUGAUGUAAAAGUACUACUAUAAGUUUAUAGAUACUAUAAGUUAGAAAUAGUAUUUAUAUUAUAUUAAUAUUGUUUAUAUUAUACUACUAAAUAACAUGCUAAUGAUAUUUGCUAUUA
This is a long non-coding RNA of Ooceraea biroi (clonal raider ant), 525 nucleotides long. RefSeq lists it as uncharacterized. Lineage: Eukaryota; Metazoa; Arthropoda; Insecta; Hymenoptera; Formicidae. The record is from RefSeq and is a predicted model, not a curated record.